UAGGGAAUAUUAGUUAAUGUGCGAAAGCGCGAACUAGCAACGCCGCGUGUGCGAUGAAGGCCUUCGGGUUGUAAAGCACUUUUCUAAGGGAUGAGUAAGGACAGUACCUUAGGAAUAAGCCUCGGCUAACUACGUGCCAGCAGCCGCGGUAAAACGUAGGAGGCGAGCGUUAUCCGGAUUUACUGGGCGUAAAGCGCGUGCAGGCGGUUUGGUAAGUUGGAUGUGAAAGCUCCUGGCUUAACUGGGAGAGGUCGUUCAAUACUGUCAGACUUGAGGAUGGUAGAGGGAGAUGGAAUUACGGGUGUAGUGGUGAAAUGCGUAGAUAUCCGGAGGAACA
Molecule: ribosomal RNA, 337 nt
Filed under: uncultured bacterium
Lineage: Bacteria
Description: bacterial SSU rRNA
Rfam family: Bacterial small subunit ribosomal RNA
Source: RNAcentral